RNAcentral lists this ribosomal RNA (400 nucleotides) under uncultured bacterium. Its description in RNAcentral is "bacterial SSU rRNA". It matches the Rfam family "Bacterial small subunit ribosomal RNA", at positions 355 to 748 of the family's 1533-position model. The record is from RNAcentral.
UGGGGAAUAUUGCGCAAUGGGGGAAACCCUGACGCAGCAACGCCGCGUGUGUGAUGAAGGCCUUCGGGUCGUAAAGCACUGUGAGGUGGAACGAGCCGCCGGGGGCUAAUACCCUUCGGCCCGACGGUACCACCAGAGGAAGCACCGGCUAACCCUGUGCCAGCAGCCGCGGUAAUACAGGGGGUGCAAGCGUUGUUCGGAAUUAUUGGGCGUAAAGCGCGUGUAGGCGGACCAUUAAGUCUGGUGUGAAAUCCCUCGGCUUAACCGAGGACGUGCAUUGGAUACUGGUGGCCUUGAGUCCUGGAGAGGGUAGCGGAAUUCCCAGUGUAGAGGUGAAAUUCGUAGAUAUUGGGAGGAACACCGGUGGCGAAGGCGGCUACCUGGACAGUGACUGACGCUG